This 215-nucleotide ribosomal RNA is filed under the name uncultured bacterium. Its description in RNAcentral is "partial 16S ribosomal RNA". It matches the Rfam family "Bacterial small subunit ribosomal RNA", at positions 326 to 539 of the family's 1533-position model. The record is from RNAcentral.
ACGCUCGACACCUACAGGCAGCAGUGAGGAAUAUUGGUCAAUGGGCGCUAGCCUGAACCAGCCAAGUAGCGUGAAGGAUGAAGGCUCUAUGGGUCGUAAACUUCUUUUAUAUAAGAAUAAAGUGCAGUAUGUAUACUGUUUUGUAUGUAUUAUAUGAAUAAGGAUCGGCUAACUCCGUGCCAGCAGCCGCGGUAAUCUGAGCGGGCUGGCAAGGC